Molecule: ribosomal RNA, 466 nt
Filed under: uncultured bacterium
Lineage: Bacteria
Description: partial 16S ribosomal RNA
Rfam family: Bacterial small subunit ribosomal RNA
Source: RNAcentral
GACGAACGCUGGCGGCGUGCUUAACACAUGCAAGUCGAACGGAAAGGCCCUGCUUGCGGGGUACUCGCGUGGCGAACGGGUGAGUAACACAUGGGUGGUCUGCCCUGCUCUUCGGGUUGAGCUUGGUAAACUGGGUGUAAUACAGGAUAGAAACCAUCUUUAAUGUGGUGGUUGGAAAGUUUUUUCGGUUUAGGAUGAGCUCGCGACCUAUAAGCUUGUUGGUGGGGUAAUGGGCUAAGGAGGCGGCGACGGGUAGCCGGCCUGAGAGGGUGUACGGCCACAUUGGGACUCCGACACGGCGCAGACUCCGACGAGAGGCAGCAGUGGGGAAUAUUGUACAAUGGGCGCACGGCUGAUGUAGCGACGCCCCGUGGGGGAUGAAGCCCUUCGGGUUGUAAACUCCUAUUGCGAGGGACGAAGCGUUGUUGUGACGGUACCUAGAUAAGAAGCCCCGGCUAACUACGUG